UGGGGGCUGUAAACCUCUUUUUUCAAGGAAGAAGAUAUGACGGUACUUGAGGAAUAAGCCACGGCUAAUUCCGUGCCAGCAGCCGCGGUAAUACGGGAGUGGCAAGCGUUAUCCGGAAUUAUUGGGCGUAAAGCGUCAGCAGGUGGCCUUUCAAUUUUUUUGUUAAAGCGUGGAAGUUAAAUCCAUUAUGGCAAAGGAAACUGAUCGGCUUGAGUAUGGUAGGGGCAGAGGGAAUUCCCAAGUAGCGGUGAAAUGGGUAGAUAUCGGGAAGAACACCACUGGCGAAGGCGCUAAGCGGGCCAUUACUCACGUUCAUGGACGAAGGCCAGGGGAGGGAAAGGCAUU
This 345-nucleotide ribosomal RNA is filed under the name uncultured Gammaproteobacteria bacterium. RNAcentral's name for it is "bacterial SSU rRNA". It matches the Rfam family "Bacterial small subunit ribosomal RNA", at positions 417 to 779 of the family's 1533-position model. The record is from RNAcentral. Lineage: Bacteria; Pseudomonadati; Pseudomonadota; Gammaproteobacteria.